CAGUAGCCGCGGUAAUACGAAGGGGGCUAGCGUUGCUCGGAAUGACUGGGCGUAAAGGGCGCGUAGGCGGCGAUCAAAGUCAGGCGUGAAAUUCCUGGGCUCAACCUGGGGGCUGCGUUUGAUACUUGAUUGCUAGAGUGGGGAAGAGGGUCGUGGAAUUCCCAGUGUAGAGGUGAAGUUCGUAGAUAUUGGGAAGAACACCAGUGGCGAAGGCGGCUCACUGGACCGACACUGACGCUGAGGCGCGAAAGCGUGGGGAGCAAACAGGAUUAGAUACCCGCGUAGUCCCUGUCUCUUAUAC
Molecule: ribosomal RNA, 301 nt
Filed under: uncultured bacterium
Lineage: Bacteria
Description: partial 16S ribosomal RNA
Rfam family: Bacterial small subunit ribosomal RNA
Source: RNAcentral